UUAUUUUUUAUGUACCACACUUAUUUAUUGAAGUCCUGUAUAUAGGCUGGGCAGAGUUGAUUGAACCGAUGUUAAUGAUUGGGUAUGACUUUAGAUUUUAGGAUGAAUAUAGAUGGUCAGUAAUAGGUAUUGAUUGUGCAGUUAUAGUUUACUGGACUGUUCUCCUUAUAUCUGGUUGAAGCACAUGAGCAAUCAGAGCAGGGAUGUAACUAUACCUGCCCCAGUACCCGUGCGUUAGAGAUGACGACGAUACCUCUAACGCACAGAUACUAGUGUACCUGCGAUCUUAUUCAAAAACUCUCAUGAUCUUAUAGGACGAUAGUUCCAGCUCAACUGCGACAUUAUGGACUCAGGGCUCCAGCAGGAGGGCUUAUGGAUAUCUGAUAUGCCAUUUGACUGGAGGCAUGCUGCAGUAUGCGGCACAGGGAGAAGAAAACAUGCAGAAACGUACUCAUGUGGCAAGGUCUAGUAAAG
This 474-nucleotide long non-coding RNA is filed under the name Salmo salar (Atlantic salmon). Its description in RNAcentral is "lncRNA (ENSSSAG00000086812.1, ENSSSAG00000100632.1)". Lineage: Eukaryota; Metazoa; Chordata; Actinopteri; Salmoniformes; Salmonidae. The record is from RNAcentral.